UGGGGAAUAUUGGACAAUGGGCGCAAGCCUGAUCCAGCAAUGCCGCGUGUGUGAAGAAGGCCUGCGGGUUGUAAAGCACUUUAAGCAGGGAGGAAGGCUCUAAGGCGAAUACCCUUGGAGAUUGACGUUACCUGCAGAAUAAGCACCGGCUAACUCCGUGCCAGCAGCCGCGGUAAUACGGAGGGUGCGAGCGUUAAUCGGAAUUACUGGGCGUAAAGCGUGCGCAGGCGGUUUUGUAAGUCAGAUGUGAAAUCCCCGAGCUCAACUUGGGAACUGCGUUUGAAACUAUAAGACUAGAAUAUGUCAGAGGGGGGUAGAAUUCCUGGUGUAGGGGUGAAAUCUGUAGAGAUCAGGAAGAAUACCAGUGGCGAAGGCGAGCUCCUGGCCAAUGAUUGACGCUGAGGUGCGAAAGUGUGGGGAUCAAACAGG
Molecule: ribosomal RNA, 429 nt
Filed under: uncultured bacterium
Lineage: Bacteria
Description: bacterial SSU rRNA
Rfam family: Bacterial small subunit ribosomal RNA
Source: RNAcentral